UACGGAGGGUGCGAGCGUUGUCCGGAAUCAUUGGGCGUAAAGGGCGCGUAGGUGGCGGGACAAGCGUGCGGUGAAAGCUCGGGGCUCAACCCCGAGUCGGCCGUGCGAACUGUUUUGCUUGAGCACUGUAGAGGCAGGCGGAAUUCCGGGUGUAGCGGUGGAAUGCGUAGAGAUCCGGAAGAACACCGGUGGCGAAGGCGGCCUGCUGGGCAGUAGCUGACGCUGAGGCGCGACAGCGUGGGGAGCAAACGAGG
RNAcentral lists this ribosomal RNA (254 nucleotides) under uncultured bacterium. RNAcentral's name for it is "partial 16S ribosomal RNA". It matches the Rfam family "Bacterial small subunit ribosomal RNA", at positions 524 to 777 of the family's 1533-position model. The record is from RNAcentral.